Non-coding RNA from Callithrix jacchus (white-tufted-ear marmoset), 46 nucleotides. The record is from Rfam. Lineage: Eukaryota; Metazoa; Chordata; Mammalia; Primates; Cebidae.
CCACAGGAUGUACUCACAUCCACAUUCACUCACUGUGACCAUUUAG